RNAcentral lists this ribosomal RNA (873 nucleotides) under uncultured bacterium. RNAcentral's name for it is "bacterial SSU rRNA". It matches the Rfam family "Bacterial small subunit ribosomal RNA", at positions 26 to 896 of the family's 1533-position model. The record is from RNAcentral.
AGGACGAACGCUGGCGGCGUGCCUCAAACAUGCAAGUCGAGUGUGGACGCACUCUCUCGCAAGAGAGGGUGCGUUCUAGCGGCGAACGGGUGAGUAACACGUGGGAAACUUGCCCUCCAGACGGGGACAACCUCGGGAAACCGGGGCUAAUACCGGAUACGKUUCGCUGGGUCGCAUGGCCCGGCGAGGAAAGGGUCGCAAGACCGCUGGAGGAGAGUCCCGCGGYCUAUCAGCUUGUUGGSCGGGGUAACGGCCCACCAAGGCGAUGACGGGUAGCUGGCCUGAGAGGGUGGUCAGCCACACUGGAACUGAGACACGGUCCAGACUCCUACGGGAGGCAGCAGUUGGGAAUCUUGGGCAAUGGGCGAAAGCCUGACCCAGCGACGCCGCGUGGGGGAUGAAGGCCUUCGGGUUGUAAACCCCUGUCAGGAGGGACGAAGCCGAAAGGUGACGGUACCUCCAGAGGAAGCCCCGGCUAACUACGAGCCAGCAGCCGCGGUAAGACGUAGGGGGCGAGCGUUGUCCGGAAUUACUGGGCGUAAAGCGCGUGCAGGCGGCCUUGUAAGUCCCGUGUGAAAGCCUACGGCUUAACCGUAGGAGGCCGCGGGAUACUGUUUGGCUUGAGGGCAGGAGAGGGAAGUAGAAUUCCCGGUGUAGCGGUGAAAUGCGUAGAUAUCGGGAGGAAUGCCAGUGGCGAAGGCGGCUUCCUGGCCUGUCCCUGACGCUGAGACGCGAAAGCUGGGGGAGCAAACGGGAUUAGAUACCCCGGUAGUCCCAGCCGUAAACGAUGGUCACUAGGUGUUGGGGGGUACCCCUUCAGUGCCGAAGCUAACGCAUUAAGUGACCCGCCUGGGGAGUACGGCCGCAAGGUUG